AACGAACGCUGGCGGCAUGCCUAACACAUGCAAGUCGAACGAGACCUUCGGGUCUAGUGGCGCACGGGUGCGUAACGCGUGGGAACCUGCCCUUAGGUUUGGAAUAACUCCCCGAAAGGGGUGCUAAUACCGGAUAAUGUCUUCGGACCAAAGAUUUAUCGCCUUUGGAUGGGCCCGCGUUGGAUUAGCUAGUUGGUAGGGUAAAAGCCUACCAAGGCGACGAUCCAUAGCUGGUCUGAGAGGAUGAUCAGCCACACUGGGACUGAGACACGGCCCAGACUCCUACGGGAGGCAGCAGUGGGGAAUAUUGGACAAUGGGCGAAAGACUGAUCCAGCAAUGCCGCGUGAGUGAUGAAGGCCUUAGGGUUGUAAAGCUCUUUUACCCGGGAUGAUAAUGACAGUACCGGGAGAAUAAGCUCCAGCUAACUCCGUG
This 433-nucleotide ribosomal RNA is filed under the name uncultured bacterium. Its description in RNAcentral is "partial 16S ribosomal RNA". It matches the Rfam family "Bacterial small subunit ribosomal RNA", at positions 29 to 507 of the family's 1533-position model. The record is from RNAcentral.